UACGAAGGGGGCUAGCGUUGCUCGGAAUCACUGGGCGUAAAGGGUGCGUAGGCGGGUUUUUAAGUCAGAGGUGAAAUCCUGGAGCUCAACUCCAGAACUGCCUUUGAUACUGAGAAUCUUGAGUACGGGAGAGGUGAGUGGAACUGCGAGUGUAGAGGUGAAAUUCGUAGAUAUUCGCAAGAACACCAGUGGCGAAGGCGGCUCACUGGCCCGUUACUGACGCUGAGGCGCGAAAGCGUGGGGAGCAAACAGG
RNAcentral lists this ribosomal RNA (253 nucleotides) under uncultured bacterium. RNAcentral's name for it is "partial 16S ribosomal RNA". It matches the Rfam family "Bacterial small subunit ribosomal RNA", at positions 524 to 776 of the family's 1533-position model. The record is from RNAcentral.